GCGGCCGUCGUCUAGUCUGGUUAGGACACAGAAAAGCCCUUAAAAGCCUGCGAUCCCGGGUUCGAAUCCCGGCGGCCGCA
This 80-nucleotide transfer RNA is filed under the name Candidatus Bathyarchaeota archaeon. Its description in RNAcentral is "tRNA-Leu". It matches the Rfam family "tRNA". From Rfam's summary of the family: Transfer RNA (tRNA) molecules are approximately 80 nucleotides in length. Their secondary structure includes four short double-helical elements and three loops (D, anti-codon, and T loops). The record is from RNAcentral. Lineage: Archaea; Thermoproteati; Candidatus Bathyarchaeota.